RNAcentral lists this ribosomal RNA (595 nucleotides) under uncultured bacterium. RNAcentral's name for it is "bacterial SSU rRNA". It matches the Rfam family "Bacterial small subunit ribosomal RNA", at positions 338 to 944 of the family's 1533-position model. The record is from RNAcentral.
CCUACGGGAGGCAGCAGUGGGGAAUAUUGCACAAUGGGCGAAAGCCUGAUGCAGCGACGCCGCGUGAGGGAUGACGGCCUUCGGGUUGUAAACCUCUUUCAGCAGGGAAGAAGCGAAAGUGACGGUACCUGCAGAAGAAGCGCCGGCUAACUACGUGCCAGCAGCCGCGGUAAUACGUAGGGCGCAAGCGUUGUCCGGAAUUAUUGGGCGUAAAGAGCUCGUAGGCGGCUUGUCACGUCGGGUGUGAAAGCCCGGGGCUUAACCCCGGGUCUGCAUUCGAUACGGGCUAGCUAGAGUGUGGUAGGGGAGAUCGGAAUUCCUGGUGUAGCGGUGAAAUGCGCAGAUAUCAGGAGGAACACCGGUGGCGAAGGCGGAUCUCUGGGCCAUUACUGACGCUGAGGAGCGAAAGCGUGGGGAGCGAACAGGAUUAGAUACCCUGGUAGUCCACGCCGUAAACGGUGGGAACUAGGUGUUGGCGACAUUCCACGUCGUCGGUGCCGCAGCUAACGCAUUAAGUUCCCCGCCUGGGGAGUACGGCCGCAAGGCUAAAACUUAAAGAGUAUGACGNGNGAGNGCGACGAGCACGAGGAGGUAG